GUGUCACCCUCUGUAGUCCUAUGGUUCGGAAGACCCCGUCUUCCUUCUGUAGCUCUACGUCUUUACACACACACUGUAGCGAUGUCUCAUGGAAUGUUUUUAUGCGUUUAACGCGAUACAAUACAACUUUCAGCAACGGAUCUCUUGGCUCUCGCAUCGAUGAAGAACGCAGCGAAAUGCGAUAAGUAAUGUGAAUUGCAGAAUUCAGUGAAUCAUCGAAUCUUUGAACGCACCUUGCGCCCCUUGGUUAUUCCUUGGAGCAUGCCUGUUUGAGUAUCAUGAACACCUCAACUCUCAUGGUCUUCCAUGAUGAGCUUGGACUUUGGGGGUUUGCUGGCCCUGCGGCCGGCUCCUCUCAAAUGAAUCAGCUUGCCAGUGUUUGGUGGCAUCACGGGUGUGAUAACUAUCUACGCUCGCGGUCGUCUGCCAGGUAACCCUCAGCGAUGAGGGUUCAUUGGAGCUCAUAAACGUCUCUCCUCGGCGAGGACAACUUUUGAACGUUCGAUCUCAAAUCAGGUAGGAUUACCCGCUGAACUUAAGCAUAUCAAUAAGCGGAAGGAAAAGAAACUAACAAGGAUUCCCCUAAUAACUGCGAGUGAAGCGGGAAGAGCUCAAAUUUAAAAUCUGGCGUGCCUCUGGUCGUCCGAAAUGUAAUUCUGGGAAGCGUUUUCCCGGUCGGACCGUGUAUAAUUGUCCUGGAACAGGGCGUCAUAGAGGGUGAGAAUCCGUGUAUAGACACGGACUACCGAUGCUUUGGAAG
Molecule: ribosomal RNA, 760 nt
Filed under: uncultured Thelephoraceae
Lineage: Eukaryota; Fungi; Basidiomycota; Agaricomycetes; Thelephorales; Thelephoraceae
Description: eukaryotic LSU rRNA
Rfam family: 5.8S ribosomal RNA (bases 125-279)
Source: RNAcentral